AUGGCUGACAAAAAGCCCAAGAAAGGAGUCAAGACCCAAAAAAAUAACCAUAUAGAGUUGCAGUGGUGGGGUGGAAUGGUUCAGUGGUACAGCUCCAGAGUAUAUCACUUAGCAAACUAAUGAGAGCCUAUUGUUAACAACUGAUCUAUCAAUGAGGCAACUUGGUUUUGGAUGUGAUGGGAGGCCAAUUAAUGAAACACCUGUACAGGUGAAAAUGGAAGAUGAAGAUAUAAUUGAUGUGUAUACAAAGCAGACAGGAAGUAUCUACUAAAAGAAGAUCUGCACUUACUUGA
RNAcentral lists this long non-coding RNA (293 nucleotides) under Homo sapiens (human). Its description in RNAcentral is "non-protein coding lnc-GSDME-6:1". Lineage: Eukaryota; Metazoa; Chordata; Mammalia; Primates; Hominidae. The record is from RNAcentral.